This 567-nucleotide ribosomal RNA is filed under the name uncultured bacterium. RNAcentral describes it as "partial 16S ribosomal RNA". It matches the Rfam family "Bacterial small subunit ribosomal RNA", at positions 355 to 911 of the family's 1533-position model. The record is from RNAcentral.
UGGGGAAUAUUGCACAAUGGGCGCAAGCCUGAUGCAGCCAUGCCGCGUGUGUGAAGAAGGCCUUCGGGUUGUAAAGCACUUUCAGCGAGGAGGAAGGUGGUGAGCUUAAUACGCUCAUCAAUUGACGUUACUCGCAGAAGAAGCACCGGCUAACUCCGUGCCAGCAGCCGCGGUAAUACGGAGGGUGCAAGCGUUAAUCGGAAUUACUGGGCGUAAAGCGCACGCAGGCGGUUUGUUAAGUCAGAUGUGAAAUCCCCGGGCUCAACCUGGGAACUGCAUUUGAAACUGGCAAGCUAGAGUCUCGUAGAGGGGGGUAGAAUUCCAGGUGUAGCGGUGAAAUGCGUAGAGAUCUGGAGGAAUACCGGUGGCGAAGGCGGCCCCCUGGACGAAGACUGACGCUCAGGUGCGAAAGCGUGGGGCAGCAAACAGGAUUAGAUACCCUGGUAGUCCACGCUGUAAAACGAUGUCGAUUUGGAGGUUGUGCCCCUUGAGGCGUGGCUUCCGGAGCUAACGCGUUAAAUCGACCGCCUGGGGAGUACGGCCGCAAGGUUAAAACUCAAAGGAAUU